GUCUGUAUAGCAUAGUGGUUUGAGUAUUGGACUAGGACUUAAGAGACCAGGGUUUCAAUCCCUGCUCAGCCA
Phrynosoma platyrhinos (Desert horned lizard) is the source of this 72-nucleotide non-coding RNA. NCBI's taxonomy places the organism in Eukaryota, Metazoa, Chordata, Lepidosauria, Squamata, Phrynosomatidae. The record is from the annotation of a GenBank genome assembly.